RNAcentral lists this ribosomal RNA (1494 nucleotides) under uncultured Bordetella sp. RNAcentral describes it as "partial 16S-23S ribosomal RNA intergenic spacer". It matches the Rfam family "Bacterial small subunit ribosomal RNA". The record is from RNAcentral. Lineage: Bacteria; Pseudomonadati; Pseudomonadota; Betaproteobacteria; Burkholderiales; Alcaligenaceae.
UUCGAUCAUGGCUCAGAUUGAACGCUGGCGGGAUGCUUUUACACAUGCAGUCGAACGGCAGCACGGACUUCGGUCUGGUGGCGAGUGGCGAACGGGUGAGUAAUGUAUCGGAACGUGCCUAGUAGCGGGGAUAACACGCGAAAGCGUAGCUAAUACCGCAUACGCCCUUCGGGGAAAAGCGGGGGACCUUCGGGCCUCGCACUAUUAGAGCGGCCGAUAUCGGAUUAGCUAGUUGGUGGGGUAACGGCUCACCAAGGCGACGAUCCGUAGCUGGUUUGAGAGGACGACCAGCCACACUGGGACUGAGACACGGCCCAGACUCCUACCAGGAGGCAGCAGUGGGGAAUUUUGGACAAUGGGGGAAACCCUGAUCCAGCCAUCCCGCGUGUGCGAUGAAGGCCUUCGGGUUGUAAGCACUUUUUGGCAGGAAAGAAACGGCACGGGAUAAUACCCCGUGCAACUGACGGUACCUGCCCAGAAUAAGCACCGGCUAACUACGUGCCAGCAGCCGCGGUAAUACGUAGGGGUGCAAGCGUUAAUCGGAAUUACUGGGCGUAAAGCGUGCGCAGGCGGUUCGGAAAGAAGAUGUGAAAUCCCAGAGCUUAACUUUGGAACUCCAUUUUUAACUUUACCGAGCUAGAGUGUGUCAGAGGGAGGUGGAAUUCCGCGUGUAGCAGUGAAAUGCGUAGAUAUGCGGAGGAACACCAGUGAUGGCGAAGGCAGCCUCCUGGGAUAACACUGACGCUCAUGCACGAAAGCGUGGGGAGCAAACAGGAUUAGAUACCCUGGUAGUCCACGCCUAAACGAUGUCAACUAGCUGUUGGGGCCUUCGGGCCUUGGUAGCGCAGCUAACGCGUGAAGUUGACCGCCUGGAAGUACGGUCGCAAGAUUAAAACUCAAAGGAAUUGACGGGGACCCGCACAAGCGGUGGAUGAUGUGGAUUAAUUCGAUGCAACGCGAAAAACCUUACCUACCCUUGACAUGUCUGGAAUCCCGAAAGAGAUUUGGGAGUGCUCGCAAGAGAACCGGAACACAGGUGCUGCAUGAGGCUGUCGUCAGCUCGUGUCGUGAGAUGUUGGGUUAAGUCCCGCAACGAAACGCAGCCCUUGUCGUGUAGUUGCUACGAAAGGGCACUCUAAUGCGAGACUGCCGGUGACAAACCGGAGGAAGGUGGGGAUGACGUCAAGUCCUCAUGGCCCUUAUGGGUAGGGCUUCACGUCGCCUAAUGAAUUCGGGACAGAGGGUCGCCAACCCGCGAGGGGAGCCAAUCCCAGAAACCCGAUCGUAGUCCGGAUCGCAGUCUGCAACUCGACUGCGUGAAGUCGGAAUCGCUAGUAAUCGCGGAUCAGCAUGUCGCGGUGAAUACGUUCCCGGGUCUUGUACACACCGCCCGUCACACCAUGGGAGUGGGUUUUACCAAGUAGUUAGCCUAACCGUAAGGAGGGCGAUUACCACGGUAGGAUUCAUGACUGGGGUGAAGUCGUAACAAGGUAG